GCGCCAGUCGUCAGCAACGUUUUCAUUAAUCAAGAACGAAAGUUAGGGGAUCGAAGAUGAUCAGAUACCGUCGUAGUCUUAACCAUAAACUAUGCCGACUAGGGAUCGGGCGUUGUUCUUUUUAUGACUCGCUCGGCACCUUACGAGAAAUCAAAGUUUUUGGGUUCUGGGGGGAGUAUGGUCGCAAGGCUGAAACUUAAAGGAAUUGACGGAAGGGCACCACCAGGAGUGGAGCCUGCGGCUUAAUUUGACUCAACACGGGAAAUCUCACCAGGUCCAGACACAAUAAGGAUUGACAGAUUGAGAGCUCUUUCUUGAUUUUGUGGGUGGUGGUGCAUGGCCGUUCUUAGUUGGUGGAGUGAUUUGUCUGCUUAAUUGCGAUAACGAACGAGACCUUAACCUACUAAAUAGUGCUGUUAGCUUCGGCUGAACUGGCACUUCUUAGAGGGACUAUCGAUUUCAAGUCGAUGGAAGUUUGAGGCAAUAACAGGUCUGUGAUGCCCUUAGACGUUCUGGGCCGCACGCGCGCUACACUGACGGAGCCAGCAAGUACUAUCCUUGGCCGAAAGGUCCGGGUAAUCUCGUGAAACUCCGUCGUGCUGGGGAUAGAGCAUUGAAAUUAUUGCUCUUCAACGAGGAAUUCCUAG
Molecule: ribosomal RNA, 647 nt
Filed under: Kuraishia capsulata
Lineage: Eukaryota; Fungi; Ascomycota; Pichiomycetes; Pichiales; Pichiaceae
Description: SSU rRNA
Rfam family: Eukaryotic small subunit ribosomal RNA
Source: RNAcentral